UCCAGGGAAGAAUGGGCCCAGAUCGCUUCUGAGCCUGUUCCAGCACCUGUCCCCCUGGUCCCUCCUGGGAGCCCUUUCGGGAGGGGGGCGGGGAGCAUCAUCGGAGGUGCUUUGGGUGUCCCUUCUCCGCCUCGCUCAGCUCCCUCCCCCAGCGUUGUUUCCGUGAGCCCUGAGGGAAGUCACCGAGGCACUGACCCCGGUGCCGGUCCUCCAGCUGCUGUUUAUGUAAUGAGUGGCCUGGUGGGGCUGCUGUGGCCGACCCGAUCCGUGGUGCUGGCAUACCAAUGAGGAAGUAAACAAAAGCAGCCGUGUCCGCAUUAAGCUCUACUAGAAACGCACGGGGGCAGGGGCAGCCUCUGGAAGGAGCGCCCAGCUUCUGCUGUCUGUUGGGGCCCGGCCCGGCCAGCCGGAGCUCCGGUUUGUGGGUUAGUCUCGGGAGCCCACUCCGUGUUCCUAGUGAGCAAACCUUAGGAGUAGGAAUCCUCCUCACCCGGAGUCCGCGCUCCCAGCCCGGCCCGGCCGGGCCCGGCGGCGCGCAGCCCUCCUCCGUUUGAGCAGGGAGGAGGAAGAGGCCUAUGGGUUUAAGGUGGAGCUGCCUUGCAGUCCGGUUCCAGGCAGCUGGCUCCCCUGGGCGGCCGGCCGAGUGACGCUGGAACCGCACCCCCUCCCUUUGUAUACACCCUGCAGCGCAGCCAAUGUCAAAUCCGCCUUCCCCCUCAGGCCCCAGGGCCUGGCUUAGAGCUGGGCGAGGCCAUACUUCCGCGCCCCCCCCCUUCUUUUCUCUUUCUCUCCCUUUUUUUUUGAGACAGAGUCGUGUUGUGUAAAUCGUGCUGGCCUUGAGCUCACUGUGUAGCCCAGGCUGGCCUUGAACUUGCAGCAGUCCCCCUGCCUCAGCCUCCUGGCCCCCCCUUUUGGUGGAGGGCCCUUCCUAGGUCCCUCCCCAGUCCUGGCCCUCAGGCUGAGUCACACCAGAAGGAAGGGGUUGGCCUGAGACCAAGUGAGUGAGCCAUCCCUGGAGUCCCAGUUUAGGGCCUGGGUGUGACUGGGGCCAGGGUUGGGCUGGGAGAGACUGAGUGUUUAUGGGUGGGGGACCCUGGAGGCUGGUCAGGGCCAGUGCGAGGCCUGAGUAUGAGGAAGCUCUGCACAGGGCACUGUGGAGAUAGGGGCUGUUUCCUGGGGGGACCAGCCAACAGUGAGUCACUGUUUAGCAAUUAAACAUACAUCCACAACCAACAAAAGGUUGGAGGGCCACCACAGGCUGUGGGCAGGGCUAACAAAUACAGCUUGCUGUAUAAUUAGUUUGCAGUCUGAUGGGCCAGCUCUGGGGUUCCGUGCCAGGACAGGCCUCUGGCUUCUUAACGGAAGUGGGGGGUGGAGAGGAGCCGCUGCUUCCGUGUCGCCCUCCAGCCUCUCCGCAGUGGUGGGAAGCUGCUGGGUGGAGGAGGCGGCCCAGCUAGUUCUCAGUCCGGGAUUGGCGUGGGAAGUGAGGGGGGAAGGAGAUGUGGCCGGAAGGAGCAGGAGCGGACCGCGCCGGCUGCUCUUCGCUCUUGAGCUGUGCUUUGCUCCGCUGAGUGCUGGAGAUGUGUGUAGUGACCUGUCCCCGUCUCCACUUGCCCUCAAGGAGCCUGUCUCCUGCCUGCAGUGUUCGGGGCUGGGGUGGCGCUUGGGGAGUAUACCCAGGGGUUCGGGUCCGCAGGCCCCAGUCUCACCUGCAGGUCCGGGUGGAAACAGCCCCCGAACUUCGCCAGCAACUUCAUCCAUGUGUGCGCGUGCGCGUGCCUGGUGCGCGGGCUGCGUGGUGGGUUCAUCCGGGCCAGAUACGCGGUUCUGUGUGCUCUGCACCUGCGCCCAUCCGUGGCGGUCUGGGUCUCGCCGUCCUUCAGGCUCUGGACCCUGCCAUUCUCUCCGGUGCCCCAGGGCCCUGGGAGUUGGAAGCCCCUCGCUAGCUCACUGUCACUCCAGUGAGUUUGGCUUAUUGCUGAGGAGGCACAGGGGCUGCCACGGGGGAGAGAGUGAGCCUGGCCUGGGCAGUCAGGAGCCCAGGCUCUCUCCAGGCUGUGCAGGGGAAGGGCCUUGGCCUUGGCCCUGGCCCCCAGCCCUUGCUAGAGGGAGUCUGUCUUCGGGGGCCUUAGCUGCUGCCCUGGAUGAGGGCAGUGGACUGCUCCAGAGCAGCAGUACAGCACGGAGACCAGGCGUAGGCCUUCAAGUCUAGGUCAGUUUCCCUGCCCUCCCAGGGGCUGUGGAUGGGCUGCAUCCAUUGGCCAGAAACCCCCUUCCUGGGCUCAGACCCACAAACUUGUGUACUUAAGUCAUUGGCCUAGAGGGCAGGGGCCGACACUAGGAGGGCAGACCGGUCUCCGCCCUGCCUCUGCAGGCUGGGGUGCUGCCCCGGGGAAACCAGCAUGUUAGCACAUGGCUUGAACCCUGAUGGGCCUAAAACUGCUCUUUGGGACAUGCCUAGACCCUCUGUGAGUUUUACCCCAUGGGGCUGAGGGGGACCUAGGGCCCAGGAUUGGGGUGUCCAGGUAGGCUGAGGCCUGGUAGCCCCGGACAGGCAAGCCCUCUUCUAGUCCCCAGGGUCAGGGAUUCUUCUGAGUUACAGGGAAAGGGUCCUGGAGAAGCGGUGCGUGCACUGGGUCGGUCUAAGUGUGCCGCUGUGUCAUCUCUCGGACCCCAGGUCAGGGUGGAAGUGUUGCCGGGACCCCAUUCCUGGCAUCCUCCCAGGUGCAGCUUUGGAGAGGUGCUUACUGCCCACAAGAUCACAUGCUUGGGCCAGUGUGGGGUUUGUGGCCUCCUGAGGCAAGCGCACCCGGCUCGCCCUGGCGGAAUCUGGGCCUCUCCCUCUGCCUGAGUUGAAGCUGAGGCCCGAUCUGUGGGGUAGGGAGUGGCCGUGCAGACCUGGACUCCUAACGUCUCAGCCGGGCUAGGAAUGUGAGUGUGUGUGUGUGUGUGUGUGUGUGUGUGUGUGUGACAGAGGGAGGGAGGGAGGGAGAGGAGAGAGGAGAGAGCAAUACAAGGAGUCUGAGGAUGGGGCCUGGCUUUGGCCCUCCGUGGACCCACAGAGCGGCCUCUGGCAGAGGCCCUGCCUCGCCUCCUUCCCUCCACCCUCAGACACAGCGGGAGCCCGUCACACUGCCCUGCUGCUGGCUGUGCCUCCUGCAGCUCCAGGGGCUCUGUCUUGGGGGGGGGUGCCUCACAUGUGACUCAGUUUCUCCCUUGCACAAACAUCUUUGCAAAGGCAUAUGCGUGUGCCCGGCCGGUUCCACGGCGGCUCUGCCCGUGUGCGCGGCGGCCGUGCUGCCCAGGCACCUGCACGGGGAAGCUGACUGCGGCUUCACUUCUGUCGCUGUGACUGCCACCGGGUGAGCUGCUGUAGCGAGAGCCUGCUCAGGUCGGGGUGCGGGGACUGGGGGGGAGCCCCUUCCUCUCGAGGUGGGGUGUUGAGGUGGGGCUCCCCACAGGGUGGACUGUGGCCUGUGCUGGGUAUCUGCCUGGCAGCGCUGUGGGGGGCCCCCUGCCCUGAGCCCAGCCGGGCUGACCGGGUCCCUGGCCCUGAGAACCCUUCCUCCCCGGCUGGCCUGGCAUUCAAGCCCAGACAAAGGGGGGCUUUCUCUCGCGCCUCUUUGUUCUGCUGCCCCAGAGCGCUGCUCUCUGCAUGGCAAAAGCUAAUUCUACUCUGCAGCUGGGAAGCCAGGGGUGGGGGCCGCUCUGCCGAGCCCUGCCCGCUACCCUGUCACCACUGCUCGGCUGACACUCCCACCAGGGUUUGCGUGGCACCCCAAGGCAGCAAAACGGGGUGCGGGUGGGGAGAGAAGGGGAGAGUGGCGUGGGCCUUGAGCUCCUGGGACCAGGCCUAGGGGCAGCUCCCCAUGGGCCUGGGCCAGAGCUGGAGGGGGCAGAGGCCAGAAGUCCAGCCCCUUCUCGCCGCCACGGCUGCCCGUCCUGGGGGCUGCCUGCACCUCAGCCUUGAGCCUGCUCCGUCCCAGCCUUGCCUCUCUGCAAGAUUGACUUGCGGGUUUUAUUAUUAUUUAUUAACUCGCACAGCCCCGAGUCCCCAUGCCUCAUCUGCCAGCCCGGGCCAGUCUGGCAGCAAAAAUGCCAUGGGGCCUGGCCCGACAGGCUGCACAGAGGGCUGAGGUUUGUCAGGGUGAGAGUGGAGGGGCUUAGGGGUCCCCCUGUCCAGGCUGGGAGGGCCUGAAGGGAGCCGCUCUAGGACAGUCGCGGAGCAGAGCCCCAGGCCCAGGCGGAUUGGGACGGAUGCUUUUGUCCCACAGGCCCAGGAGCAGGCCCCAGAAAGGCCUGAGGUCCGGAGGGGCGGGUCCUGAGCACUGCCUCGAGGCAGCAGCCCCUGGGUGCUCCACCCCCACACACUUGAGGUGUGGCUUGGCCCAGGGGGCUCCCUGGGGCUGGGAAGUCUGCAGAGCCCUCCCUCCAGUCCCAUCCCAUGCAGAAGCCUACAUAGGAAUGGGGAACUGGGAAACGUGCGCCCACCACAGCAGCGGGCGUUUGUCCCAGGACCCUCGGAGGGCCCUGGGCCCUGCGGUGAAGGAGACACCUCAGGCUCCCAGGGUAGAAGCACUGGCUGCCGGGGCGGGCCCAGCAGUGCCUGGAAGAAGGAAGGCCCUGAGGCGCACAACCCUUGGAGGCCUCAGCGGGAGAUGGGGACAGGGCUGCCGCUGGCCUGCAGAGUGGAAGUGGGCUGGGAACCCGGGCCCCACCUGUGUGGCCCCUCACCUGGGACUCAGCUCAGCACCUCUAGUCUGUACUAAUGGGUAUGUUGUCAAGAAAUAGUUGGGCAGGGAGACCACAGUACAAGGGGGGGGGUGAACGGGGGCUGGGCGCUGGGACAGUACGCGUGCCCUGGACUCUGAGGUGUCCCGGGGCCCUUGUCCUCCUGAGCGUGAGUGGGCGUGGGGCAGCAAGCAGUCAAGUGUUUGAGGACAGCCUGGUGUAGUGGUGCACACCUAUAAUCCUAGCACUCAGGAGGCUGAGGCAGGAAGAUUGCUGAAAGUUUGAGCCCAGCUUGCACUGCAUAGCAAGACCCUGUCUCAAAAAAACCAACAAAAACAGUUUGACGAGGGUUGUUACAGGGCAGGGGUGGGCACGAAGGCCUGGGGUCUAAAGGCGUGUCCUGGGGCCUUCCCUUAACCGUCCUGCGCUGGUCACUGAAAGGUAGAGCUGAGCUUGGGGCCAAGGUUUCCCCAGCUUAGAACAAGAGCCCUGCCCGACCCUCCGCUGCUCCCGGCAUCUCAGCAUCCCAGCAUUCCAGUCUUUGUUUCUGGGGCAGCUAACUGCAUGAUGUGGGCUCUGGCUGAAGUCUUGCUGGCCUUAAUGGCUCUGUCUGUAAAAUGGGUUUGGAGCAUGAGGAAGGAACUGUUGGCAGCUUGGCUUGGGAAGCCAGCCCACUGAGGCUAGGAGCAGGGGUCAUGGCUCAGCCUCACAGGUCACUCUGAGACCCCCACAGGGAGCAGGAGAGCCGCCCGCUGCCGAGGGGACACUUGCUGAGGGUGAAUGAGCGAGGGCCGGUACAGGCCUGCUCUGCACACCUCCCCGACACAGAGGCCGUGGGUCUGCUCAGGGUGUCAUCCGCUCACUGAGGUCUGGCUGUGAAGGGCAGUGGGAGAAACAGUGACCAGGCCCACACCAAGAGGCCUUGUACCUGGGGAGCGGUCACACUGUGGUGCUGAGGCCACCAGAAGGCUCUGGCACGCAGCUGCCACUUAGCGGGCGGUGCAGCGCCACACAUCCACGACCUCUUAUGCCAGCCACGUAGAGCUACUGAGCACCAAAGUCAAGGAAGGUGCAACUGAGGAACUGACGUUUAAGUUCAUCUUAGUUUUAAUUAAUGUAAGGUUAAAUAGCUGCUUGUUUUGUUUUGUUGUCUUGUUUGUACCAGGAUUUGAACUCAGGACCUUGCCAGGCAGGCGCUGUGUCACUGGGUUGUAUCCCAGGCCUACCCGCCUGUGACUAGUGACUGCUCUACGGGACGGCACAGAGGGAGGGCGGGCAGGUGACAGCCCACCUCGGCCAGGACAGGCAGGGUGGUGCAGACUUGAAACGGGGUCAUGGAGAGUUUCCCAGGCUUAGGCCUUGAGAGGAGGGGGCUCUGGGGGCAGAACAACAUCCACAGAGCGCUGGGAGCUCAGAUGCCUGCACACGGGCGACACACAUCCGCCGUCUGGCUGGAGGCGUCAGUGGGAAGGGGCUGUGCUGAGGUCCUCGAAAGCAGGGUGCUCUGGAGGGCUCUCAGCGAGGGAGCGACCCUGUUGGAAGAGGUGUGCAGGGGAGGGCAGGACAGGAGAGUGGGAGCUGUGGGCCUGGGCGGGCAGCCGGGGAGGGCGGCUGUGGGACGGGAGACAGGAGCGGAGACCAGCUUGCUCUGACGCCUUCUAGGAGACUGGCUCGGGUCUUAGGAGAGUGAGCGCUGCUUUCUGCCUGCGUCCCGCUAAGCGGGCAGGAAAGGACUCCAGGGCAAGACACAGCCUUGAGACGCCUUUGGGCUGAGCGCAAGGCCUGUGUUACUGGGAGAAUUAUUAGACGCUCUGCUCUCGGGGCUCUCCCCUGUCAGGUGGUCCUGGGGACAGCAUGGCAUGGUUAAGAACAGGGCAUGUGGAGUUUAAUUCCCGGUACCAAAAAAAAAAA
Molecule: long non-coding RNA, 6642 nt
Organism: Chinchilla lanigera (long-tailed chinchilla)
Lineage: Eukaryota; Metazoa; Chordata; Mammalia; Rodentia; Chinchillidae
Exons: 2
Source: RefSeq, a predicted model, not a curated record